CGAACGCUGGCGGCGUGCUUAACACAUGCAAGUCGAACGGAAAGGCCCUGCUUUUGUGGGGUGCUCGAGUGGCGAACGGGUGAGUAACACGUGAGUAACCUGCCCUUGACUUUGGGAUAACUUCAGGAAACUGGGGCUAAUACCGGAUAGGAGCUCCUGCUGCAUGGUGGGGGUUGGAAAGUUUCGGCGGUUGGGGAUGGACCCGCGGCUUAUCAGCUUGUUGGUGGGGUAGUGGCUUACCAAGGCUUUGACGGGUAGCCGGCCUGAGAGGGUGACCGGCCACAUUGGGACUGAGAUACGGCCCAGACUCCUACGGGAGGCAGCAGUGGGGAAUAUUGCACAAUGGGCGGAAGCCUGAUGCAGCAACGCCGCGUGCGGGAUGACGGCCUUCGGGUUGUAAACCGCUUUCGCCUGUGACGAAGCGUGAGUGACGGUAAUGGGUAAAGAAGCACCGGCUAACUACGUG
RNAcentral lists this ribosomal RNA (466 nucleotides) under uncultured bacterium. RNAcentral describes it as "partial 16S ribosomal RNA". It matches the Rfam family "Bacterial small subunit ribosomal RNA", at positions 30 to 507 of the family's 1533-position model. The record is from RNAcentral.